GUCUACGGCCAUACCACCCAGAACGCACCCGAUCUCGUCUGAUCUCAGAAGCUAAGCAGGGUCGGGCCCGGUUACUACUUGGAUGGGAGACCGCCUGGGAAUACCGGGUGCCGUAGGCC
RNAcentral lists this ribosomal RNA (119 nucleotides) under Prolemur simus (greater bamboo lemur). Lineage: Eukaryota; Metazoa; Chordata; Mammalia; Primates; Lemuridae. The record is from RNAcentral.